RNAcentral lists this ribosomal RNA (253 nucleotides) under uncultured bacterium. RNAcentral describes it as "partial 16S ribosomal RNA". It matches the Rfam family "Bacterial small subunit ribosomal RNA", at positions 524 to 776 of the family's 1533-position model. The record is from RNAcentral.
UACGGAGGGUGCAAGCGUUAAUCGGAAUUACUGGGCGUAAAGCGCACGCAGGUGGCUGAGUCAGUCGAUUGUGAAAGCCCUGGGCUUAACCUGGGAAUUGCAGUCGAUACUACUCAGCUAGAGUAUGGGAGAGGGUAGUGGAAUUCCCGGUGUAGCGGUGAAAUGCGUAGAUAUCGGGAGGAACAUCAGUGGCGAAGGCGGCUACCUGGCCCAAUACUGACACUCAGGGACGAAAGCUAGGGGAGCGAAUGGG